UCCCUCCUCUUGCUUACUACAGGCUGUGUUCUUACAUUAACUGUACAGAAAGAGGGAGCAGAAUAAACAGACCCCAUAUACAUUUCAACCCAGGCCCUGUGCCUUCUCUGUCUUGUGAAUGGGGAAACAUGG
Molecule: small nucleolar RNA, 132 nt
Organism: Ictidomys tridecemlineatus (thirteen-lined ground squirrel)
Lineage: Eukaryota; Metazoa; Chordata; Mammalia; Rodentia; Sciuridae
Source: Ensembl